This 349-nucleotide ribosomal RNA is filed under the name bacterium enrichment culture clone AP-SA-1. RNAcentral's name for it is "bacterial SSU rRNA". It matches the Rfam family "Bacterial small subunit ribosomal RNA", at positions 516 to 863 of the family's 1533-position model. The record is from RNAcentral.
CGCGGUAAUACGAACCGUCCGAACGUUACUCGGAAUUACUGGGCUUAAAGGGUGCGUAGGCGGCUUUGCAAGUCGGAUGUGAAAUACCUCGGCUUAACCGAGGAACUGCAUUCGAAACUGUGAAGCUCGAGAGAGAUAGAGGUGAGCGGAACUUGGGGUGGAGCGGUGAAAUGCGUUGAUAUCCCAAGGAACACCGGAGGCGAAAGCGGCUCACUGGGUCUUUUCUGACGCUGAGGCACGAAAGCUAGGGGAGCAAACGGGAUUAGAUACCCCGGUAGUCCUAGCCCUAAACGAUGAGCACUAGACCGAGGGAUUCUCCAUGAUCUCUUGGUCGUAGGGAAACCGUUAA